UGAAUUGACGGGGCCCGCACAGCGGUGGAGCAUGUGGUUCAAUUCGACGCAACGCGAAGAACCUUACCCAGGCUUGAACAGCGAGUGACCACUUCCGAAAGGAAGCUUCCGCAAGGACACUCGUAGAGGUGCUGCAUGGCUGUCGUCAGCUCGUGUCGUGAGAUGUUGGGUUAAGUCCCGCAACGAGCGCAACCCUUGUCUUCUGUUGCCAUCAGGUUAUGCUGGGCACUCUGAAGAGACUGCCGGUGAUAAACCGGAGGAAGGUGGGGAUGACGUCAAGUCAGCAUGGCCUUUAUGUCUGGGGCUACACACGUGCUACAAUGGCAGAUACAAACCGUCGCGAUACCGCGAGGUGGAGCUAAUCGGAGAAAGUCUGUCUCAGUUCGGAUAGCAGGCUGCAACUCGCCUGCUUGAAGUUGGAAUCGCUAGUAAUCGCGGAUCAGCACGCCGCGGUGAAUACGUUCCCGGGCCUU
Molecule: ribosomal RNA, 473 nt
Filed under: uncultured Acidobacteriaceae bacterium
Lineage: Bacteria; Pseudomonadati; Acidobacteriota; Terriglobia; Terriglobales; Acidobacteriaceae
Description: bacterial SSU rRNA
Rfam family: Bacterial small subunit ribosomal RNA
Source: RNAcentral